CGGACGGGUGAGUAACACGUGGAUAACCUACCUAUAAGACUGGGAUAACUUCGGGAAACCGGAGCUAAUACCGGAUAAUAUUUUGAACCGCAUUGUUCAAAAGUGAAAGACGGUCUUGCUGUCACUUAUAGAUGGAUCCGCGCUGCAUUAGCUAGUUGGUAAGGUAACGGCUUACCAAGGCAACGAUGCAUAGCCGACCUGAGAGGGUGAUCGGCCACACUGGAACUGAGACACGGUCCAG
This 241-nucleotide ribosomal RNA is filed under the name uncultured Staphylococcus sp. RNAcentral describes it as "partial 16S ribosomal RNA". It matches the Rfam family "Bacterial small subunit ribosomal RNA", at positions 99 to 334 of the family's 1533-position model. Lineage: Bacteria; Bacillati; Bacillota; Bacilli; Caryophanales; Staphylococcaceae. The record is from RNAcentral.